This is a non-coding RNA of Ammonifex degensii KC4, 273 nucleotides long. It matches the Rfam family "HNH endonuclease-associated RNA and ORF (HEARO) RNA". NCBI's taxonomy places the organism in Bacteria, Bacillati, Bacillota, Clostridia, Thermoanaerobacterales, Thermoanaerobacteraceae. The record is from Rfam.
GUCAUAGACCCCACGGCUGAAGCCGGGGGCUUGUCCUCCAAGCUUCAGCCGUAGGCCCAGAAGGGCCUCGCUAUGACCAGCCUCAGGGCCUGACCCGAAGGACAAGGGGAUGAAGGUCCUACGUUACCGGGGAGAGCCGAAGUUCGCACCCUGGGGUGCUCCUCCAGCUCCAGGCUCUGCAACCCGGCGGUCACAAAGCGAAGCUGGGGGUGGUGUGCUGUAGCCUGGCUGCCGGGAGAAGGCCGCCCGGUAACAUUGGCGAGGAGGGAGGCC